This 73-nucleotide transfer RNA is filed under the name Nicotiana attenuata. It matches the Rfam family "tRNA". From Rfam's summary of the family: Transfer RNA (tRNA) molecules are approximately 80 nucleotides in length. Their secondary structure includes four short double-helical elements and three loops (D, anti-codon, and T loops). Further hydrogen bonds mediate the characteristic L-shaped molecular structure. tRNAs have two regions of fundamental functional importance: the anti-codon, which is responsible for specific mRNA codon recognition, and the 3' end, to which the tRNAs corresponding amino acid is attached (by aminoacyl-tRNA synthetases). tRNAs cope with the degeneracy of the genetic code in two manners: having more than one tRNA (with a specific anti-codon) for a particular amino acid; and 'wobble' base-pairing, i.e. permitting non-standard base-pairing at the 3rd anti-codon position. Lineage: Eukaryota; Viridiplantae; Streptophyta; Magnoliopsida; Solanales; Solanaceae. The record is from Rfam by way of RNAcentral.
GCGCAUGUAGCUUAGUGGAUAGGGCGUCUAUUUUCAAAGCUGAAGGUCGCAGGUUUGACCCCUACCUGGCGCG